Molecule: long non-coding RNA, 2443 nt
Filed under: Fukomys damarensis (Damara mole-rat)
Lineage: Eukaryota; Metazoa; Chordata; Mammalia; Rodentia; Bathyergidae
Description: lncRNA (ENSFDAG00000030141.1)
Source: RNAcentral
GGAGGCCAGCAGGGAACAGUGUGCAGUGGGACAGCAGGAAGCACAAGUCCCCAGGGAGCCCAACAGGGCACUCGGGAGGCUUCCUGGAGGAGGUGACCCCACUGAGCUCUCAGAAUGAGAGGGAUUGGUCCAGUAGAGGGCUGGAGGGGACAGCAGAGACGGGGUGCUCCAGAGUGGGGGGGGACAGCAGCAUGGGCACUGGGGCAGGAGCUGGUUCUGGAUGGAGGGGCAGCAGGGGAGGGGGCAGGGCAGGGACCAGACCUGGAGGGUCACCUGCGGCUCAGGCCAUGUGAAGGAGUUACACUCCAUGCCGCUGCAGUGCAGAGUGAGGUGCGGGACAGCGGGAGGAUGGGGAGAGGCAGCUGCCUAGCAAUCCGAGGUGGGGCCAGGCUUCGGGUGGGGCUGGGGGAUGGAGAGUCGGAGAGUCAGAGCAGACCUGUGGACCUUUCAGGAGGUAGGAUGGACCUUAAGUGGGUCCAGAACCCCCUCUCUGUCCUCCACUUGCCAUUACGCAAUGGGAGACAGACGGAAGAGCCCAGAGGGAUCCUGCCCCUUGGCUCCCUCAAACCUUGGCCCUUCCUUUUUGCCCUGGGCUUCCAGAGGCAGCUUCUAGGAGUGGGGGUUCCAGCUGGAAGGGGCCUAGCCGUGGCUUUGAGAGGCCUGGAGUCUGCUGGAAGCAAGGCCACCCAGCAGGAGGGCUGGACAGAGGGAAAAGGGGCCACACAUGAGCAGCAGCAGUCAGCCCAGGGAGGCCAGGCAGUGAGAGGAAGCCAGGCACAGCCAGGGCCUGCUGGGAAGGGCCCGCCGGCCUUCUUGGAACAAGGGGGCUGGAGCAGCCAUCCAGCAACUUUGGCCUGGCUGGGAACAUUAGAAGGGACCGAGGCGGCGAGAUGUCUAAAAUAGGAAGACGCCGGGGACGCUCGGCCUGGCUGCCCGCGAUGCUGGCUGCAGGGAUCUGGCCGGGCUGUGCAGAUGGGAAAGCUAGGAGGUGAGGCAGAGACAGGGCUUAGCAUCUGGAAGCUGGUUCUGGGGCCCCGGGGACCUGUGGGGAGUGGGGAGGCUGACCCACUCUUGGGAGGGGACAGGGGUCCGCUCUGCUCGCCACCACCGGGCACCCGAACCCCAGGGGCUUCUCCCUGGUCCUGCCGGAACCUCCCACGCAAAUCUGUUCUCAGACAUUUCCUGCAGUGUGGGGGAUGCACAAACUGACUCAUCCAUCCAUUCAGUUAGUCACUAAAUAUUUUUUUGAGCAUCUAGUGCUCGCCAGACGCCGUGCCUGCUACUAGGUCUGCAGCAGGGAGCAAGGUGCAGUGUCCGGCCCUCCGCAGGGGUAACAACCCGCUGGUAAACAGGUCAUUGCAACGCGGUGUGGGGGUCAAGAGCGGCAGGAGCACAGAGAAGGAGCCUCACCUGCCUGGGAGAGGUGGUCAGGGGAGGAUUCCUGAAGGAACUGGCACCUAAACUGGGGCCUAAAGGAAUUAGACGGGUAAAGGAGGAGGAGCCAUUGCCUGUGCGGUAGCUUUAAAUUCCAAGUGGUUGGAGCCGAGGUUGAGAGGCUGGGGAGAGACCAGGGAGGGAGGGAGGCAGGAGCAGGUCGGGCAGGGCCUCCUGGGACGGUCCACGCCUACCCUGAGGCUGAUCUCUGGGAUCGUCCCAGUCACCCUUGGAAAGGCCUCCCUGGUUAUUGGGUGGAAGAGGGUGGGCGAUGGGCCAGGGCUGGACUGAGGAGGCGGUGGCUUGGGGACUGUUUGCUGAGCACCACCAGAGGUGGCAUGGUUUUGACUGCUCACCCACUGUCGCGUGUGGACCUUGCAAUGGUCCCAUUUCACAAAGCAGGGCAGUGCACCAGGUGAUGUGACUUGUCCGGGGCCACUGCCGUGAGUGACCCCAAGGCAGGCCUGGACCCUGGAGGUUACAGACUCUGUGUAGGGGUGAGAAGAGGAGGAAAAUGAAGCUAUUCAUUCUACAUCUUGCUGUCCCACAAGCCCAGUCAGAAUGCGGGCCUGUUCUCGGGCUUACGGGGUGCUAUGGUUCGGGUCUAAAGUGUCCCCCAAAAGGCUUUUGGAACUGGGGCUUUUGGAAGGUGACUGGCUCAUGCGGGUGCUAACAUUAUCAGUGCGUUAAUCCGUUGAUAGACUCAUAAUCAAUGGCAUUAUUGGGAGGUGACAGAAACAGGAGGCAGGACCUAGUCAAAGGGCAUGGGUCAUAGGGCCAUGAAUUUGGCCACUAUACCUUUCUCUCUCUCUCCCUCCCUCUCUCUCUCUCUCUCUCUCUCUCUCUCUCUCCUGGCUAUCAUGAUAGGAACAGAUUCCUUCUACCACGCCAUGAUGUUUCUCUCUCACCACAGGCCUAAAAAAUCAUGGAAUCAGCUGACCAUGGACUGAAACCUCUGACUCCACGAGCCAAAAUAAAUGUUCUGUAUUUUAAGUUGAUUUUCUCAGGU